AUUGAACGCUGGCGGAAUGCUUUACACAUGCAAGUCGAACGGCAGCACGGACUUCGGUCUGGUGGCGAGUGGCGAACGGGUGAGUAAUGUAUCGGAACGUGCCCAGUCGUGGGGGAUAACGUAGUGAAAAUUACGCUAAUACCGCAUACGAUCUAUGGAUGAAAGCGGGGGAUCGCAAGACCUCGAGCGAUUGGAGCGGCCGAUAUCGGAUUAGGUAGUUGGUGGGGUAAAGACCCACCAAGCCAACGAUCUGUAGCUGGUCUGGGAGGACGACCCGCCACACUGGAACUGAGACACGGUCCAGACUCCUACGGGAGGCAGCAGUGGGGAAUUUUGGACAAUGGGCGAAAGCCUGAUCCAGCCAUUCCGCGUGCAGGAUGAAGACCCUCGGGUUGUAAACUGCUUUUGUACAGAACGAAAAGGUUUCUACUAAUACUAGGAGCUCAUGACGGUACUGUAAGAAUAAGCACCGGCUAACUACGUGCCAGCCGCCGCAGUAA
This 500-nucleotide ribosomal RNA is filed under the name uncultured bacterium. RNAcentral describes it as "partial 16S ribosomal RNA". It matches the Rfam family "Bacterial small subunit ribosomal RNA", at positions 30 to 523 of the family's 1533-position model. The record is from RNAcentral.